UGAAUUGAAACCUGUUAAUAGUUUUCCCUUCUCUAGGCUAAAACUCCUUAAUUAAUGGUUAAACAGUGUCUUUGGGAAGGCAUCAUUACAUACAAGAAAUUCAUUUGCUUAAUGGAAUCUGUAUUCUAGCACUUGAAAAUGCAAGAUGCUUGACCUUGAUUCUAUAGGACUAGCUAUAUUAACUCCCAACCAACCAUAUUCUGACCAUACCUUCAUCUAAAAUGAAGGUGUCUUGUAUUUUUUAAAACUGCUUGUUAUGUCCAUAAUUAUGCUCGUUUCUCUAGGUUAUGCUGCAGCUACUUGGUUAGAGUUCCAUGUUGCAUUUUUUUUUUUU
RNAcentral lists this long non-coding RNA (334 nucleotides) under Jatropha curcas. RNAcentral's name for it is "long non-coding RNA (JCUR_LNC002095)". Lineage: Eukaryota; Viridiplantae; Streptophyta; Magnoliopsida; Malpighiales; Euphorbiaceae. The record is from RNAcentral.